This 55-nucleotide transfer RNA is filed under the name Hebesoma violentum. RNAcentral describes it as "tRNA-Lys". Lineage: Eukaryota; Metazoa; Acanthocephala; Eoacanthocephala; Neoechinorhynchida; Neoechinorhynchidae. The record is from RNAcentral.
CUUUCACUAGGUGUUGACCAUAAGUCUUUUUCGUGUACUUUGGGUGUGAGUAGGC